Molecule: ribosomal RNA, 440 nt
Filed under: uncultured bacterium
Lineage: Bacteria
Description: partial 16S ribosomal RNA
Rfam family: Bacterial small subunit ribosomal RNA
Source: RNAcentral
CCUACGGGAGGUAGCAGUGGGGAAUAUUGCACAAUGGGGGAAACCCUGAUGCAGCGACGCCGCGUGAGUGAAGAAGUAAUUCGUUAUGUAAAGCUCUAUCAGCAGGGAAGAAAAUGACGGUACCUGAGUAAGAAGCCCCGGCUAACUACGUGCCAGCAGCCGCGGUAAUACGUAGGGUGCAAGCGUUAGCCGGAUUUACUGGGUGGAAAGGGAGCGUAGACGGCAGUGCAAGUCUGGAGUGAAAGGCGGGGGCUCAACCCCCGGACUGCUCUGGAAACUGUACGGCUGGAGUGCAGGAGAGGUAAGUGGAAUUCCUAGUGUAGCGGUGAAAUGCGUAGAUAUUAGGAGGAACACCAGUGGCGAAGGCGGCUUACUGGACUGUAACUGACGUUGAGGCUCGAAAGCGUGGGGAGCAAACAGGAUUAGAUACCCUUGUAGUC